This 73-nucleotide transfer RNA is filed under the name Caudoviricetes sp. Its description in RNAcentral is "tRNA-Asp". It matches the Rfam family "tRNA". From Rfam's summary of the family: Transfer RNA (tRNA) molecules are approximately 80 nucleotides in length. Lineage: Duplodnaviria; Heunggongvirae; Uroviricota; Caudoviricetes. The record is from RNAcentral.
GCACCUAUAGCUUAAUGAAAAGCAACGAUUCUAUCAUCUUCUCGUGAUGCAAGUUCAAAUCUUGCUAGGUGCA